GGAGGAAGGUGGGGAUGACGUCAAGUCAUCAUGGCCCUUACGACCAGGGCUACACACGUGCUACAAUGGCGCAUACAAAGAGAAGCGACCUCGCGAGAGCAAGCGGACCUCAUAAAGUGCGUCGUAGUCCGGAUUGGAGUCUGCAACUCGACUCCAUGAAGUCGGAAUCGCUAGUAAUCGUGGAUCAGAAUGCCACGGUGAAUACGUUCCCGGGCCUUGUACACACCGCCCGUCACACCAUGGGAGUGGGUUGCAAAAGAAGUAGGUAGCUUAACCUUCGGGAGGGCGCUUACCACUUUGUGAUUCAUGACUGGGGUGAAGUCGUAACAAGGUAACCGUAGGGGAACCUGCGGUUGGAUCACCUCCUU
This 368-nucleotide ribosomal RNA is filed under the name Escherichia coli. RNAcentral's name for it is "bacterial SSU rRNA". It matches the Rfam family "Bacterial small subunit ribosomal RNA", at positions 1165 to 1532 of the family's 1533-position model. Lineage: Bacteria; Pseudomonadati; Pseudomonadota; Gammaproteobacteria; Enterobacterales; Enterobacteriaceae. The record is from RNAcentral.